GCAGUCGAGCGGUAGCACAGAGAGCUUGCUCUCGGGUGACGAGCGGCGGACGGGUGAGUAAUGUCUGGGAAACUGCCUGAUGGAGGGGGAUAACUACUGGAAACGGUAGCUAAUACCGCAUAACGUCGCAAGACCAAAGUGGGGGACCUUCGGGCCUCAUGCCAUCAGAUGUGCCCAGAUGGGAUUAGCUAGUAGGUGGGGUAACGGCUCACCUAGGCGACGAUCCCUAGCUGGUCUGAGAGGAUGACCAGCCACACUGGAACUGAGACACGGUCCAGACUCCUACGGGAGGCAGCAGUGGGGAAUAUUGCACAAUGGGCGCAAGCCUGAUGCAGCCAUGCCGCGUGUGUGAAGAAGGCCUUCGGGUUGUAAAGCACUUUCAGCGGGGAGGAAGGCGUUAAGGUUAAUAACCUUGGCGAUUGACGUUACCCGCAGAAGAAGCACCGGCUAACUCCGUGCCAGCAGCCGCGGUAAUACGGAGGGUGCAAGCGUUAAUCGGAAUUACUGGGCGUAAAGCGCACGCAGGCGGUCUGUCAAGUCGGAUGUGAAAUCCCCGGGCUCAACCUGGGAACUGCAUUCGAAACUGGCAGGCUAGAGUCUUGUAGAGGGGGGUAGAAUUCCAGGUGUAGCGGUGAAAUGCGUAGAGAUCUGGAGGAAUACCGGUGGCGAAGGCGGCCCCCUGGACAAAGACUGACGCUCAGGUGCGAAAGCGUGGGGAGCAAACAGGAUUAGAUACCCUGGUAGUCCACGCCGUAAACGAUGUCGAUUUGGAGGUUGUGCCCUUGAGGCGUGGCUUCCGGAGCUAACGCGUUAAAUCGACCGCCUGGGGAGUACGGCCGCAAGGUUAAAACUCAAAUGAAUUGACGGGGGCCCGCACAAGCGGUGGAGCAUGUGGUUUAAUUCGAUGCAACGCGAAGAACCUUACCUGGUCUUGACAUCCACAGAACUUUCCAGAGAUGGAUUGGUGCCUUCGGGAACUGUGAGACAGGUGCUGCAUGGCUGUCGUCAGCUCGUGUUGUGAAAUGUUGGGUUAAGUCCCGCAACGAGCGCAACCCUUAUCCUUUGUUGCCAGCGGUUCGGCCGGGAACUCAAAGGAGACUGCCAGUGAUAAACUGGAGGAAGGUGGGGAUGACGUCAAGUCAUCAUGGCCCUUACGACCAGGGCUACACACGUGCUACAAUGGCAUAUACAAAGAGAAGCGACCUCGCGAGAGCAAGCGGACCUCAUAAAGUAUGUCGUAGUCCGGAUUGGAGUCUGCAACUCGACUCCAUGAAGUCGGAAUCGCUAGUAAUCGUAGAUCAGAAUGCUACGGUGAAUACGUUCCCGGGCCUUGUACACACCGCCCGUCACACCAUGGGAGUGGGUUGCAAAAGAAGUAGGUAGCUUAACCUUCGGGAGGGCGCU
Molecule: ribosomal RNA, 1404 nt
Filed under: Klebsiella pneumoniae
Lineage: Bacteria; Pseudomonadati; Pseudomonadota; Gammaproteobacteria; Enterobacterales; Enterobacteriaceae
Description: bacterial SSU rRNA
Rfam family: Bacterial small subunit ribosomal RNA
Source: RNAcentral